RNAcentral lists this ribosomal RNA (460 nucleotides) under uncultured bacterium. RNAcentral describes it as "partial 16S ribosomal RNA". It matches the Rfam family "Bacterial small subunit ribosomal RNA", at positions 338 to 795 of the family's 1533-position model. The record is from RNAcentral.
CCUACGGGAGGCAGCAGUGAGGAAUAUUGGUCAAUGGGCGCGAGCCUGAACCAGCCAAGUAGCGUGAAGGAUGACUGCCCUACGGGUUGUAAACUUCUUUUAUAGGGGAAUAAAGUGAGGCACGUGUGCCUUUUGGUAUGUACUCUAUGAAUAAGGAUCGGCUAACUCCGUGCCAGCAGCCGCGGUAAUACGGAGCAUCCGAGCGUUAUCCGGAUUUAUUGGGUUUAAAGGGAGCGUAGAUGGGUUGUUAAGUCAGUUGUGAAAGUUUGCGGCUCAACCGUAAAAUUGCAGUUGAAACUGGCAGUCUUGAGUGCAGUAGAGGUAGGCGGAAUUCGUGGUGUAGCGGUGAAAUGCUUAGAUAUCACGAAGAACUCCGAUUGCGAAGGCAGCUUACUAGACUGCAACUGACACUGAGGCUCGAAAGUGUGGGUAUCAAACAGGAUUAGAUACCCGAGUAGUC